RNAcentral lists this long non-coding RNA (844 nucleotides) under Polistes fuscatus (common paper wasp). RNAcentral describes it as "uncharacterized LOC122522805". Lineage: Eukaryota; Metazoa; Arthropoda; Insecta; Hymenoptera; Vespidae. The record is from RNAcentral.
CACUGUUUUGGAGGAAUAGAGAAAGUAGUAUUCUAAAAAUAGUAUAAAAGUGUUUGCGUCCUUUAUCUCAUUCUCAUUCGAACAACAACCUCUCCAUUUUAAUUACAGUUCCGUACCAAAGGAUACAUCCCCAACAUUUGCCGCUCUUUUCCUUAUUCCUUCUCAUCCUAUUCGACAAGAAUUAACGUUUCUAUCUUGUAACAAGCGACGAACGAACUACCCGAAUUCGAAGGACAUUUCCUAUAAGAGAAUAAAAAGUCAGAGAAUCGUGGAAAAAAAAAGCGGAAGAACCUCCUGGAAGAAGGACAUUAAUCAACGAACCACUCGAAAACUUUUCCGGCCCACGACCCUCGAGAUUUUUGAGGAGCAAGGACUUUGACAAAAAGGACAGGCGGACAUUAAUCAAAUAGACAUAACCGUAACGGCAAAUCUUCCAAGCAAAAAAGCUAACUUCACUCGUUCAUCAUCCGAACGGAUACGAGAACACUAGGUCGAAAUUUUCUACUACCUGCUUCGUAAUCUUGCCUUCUUUCGAUACUGAUCGAAAUCGAACGAUCUCUUCCGUGUAGAGGAUACGGUUUCAUGAGCGAGAGACAAGGGGUAUCAAGAGACAAAUGUUUCGGACCUGGUUGCCUGCUUCCAAGCAUCGUGAUGUUAAAUAAUCGCGACGCCGGCACGUUUUCGCGUAACGAGGACGUUUAUCAGAAUCCUGCAACCGGGAACUGAUUUACAAAUAGGCCCCGAGAGGCGACUUCUCAUUCCUCCUCCUCUUCCUUCUCCUCCUUCCCUCUCUUGUACUUUCCAUCUCUACGAUCUUCUCAACGUACAUUAGAGACUUCAAAAA